This is an RNA transcript of Cucumis melo (muskmelon), 3540 nucleotides long. It is a transcript of the gene named bifunctional protein FolD 2, with no coding region annotated. Lineage: Eukaryota; Viridiplantae; Streptophyta; Magnoliopsida; Cucurbitales; Cucurbitaceae. The record is from RefSeq and is a predicted model, not a curated record. The transcript has 8 exons.
ACUUUCUCUCUUUCUUCUUUUUUGCAUACACAGAGAGAAUAUGAAGGUUCAACAUGAAAAGAGUAGUGAUUCAUCGAGUAGAACAAUCGGAGAGAAACUCGCUCAAGCUUAUCGAGAUGUGAAGGUUGCCCUAGCCCUAACAAAAAAUCGAGGCGUUGGAAUGAGACGAAACCAAAAGGAAGAUCCUAUUAGAACCAUAAUGUUCUUGGGUUCGUGGAGUCACACUUGAACUAGCUAGUUACCGUUUGUUUGAUUAACAAACUAUUUCUUAAAAACUUUUCUUAACAACUGUAUCAUUAAACGGUUUAUUGUAAAGGUUAGUAUAUUGUUUUUGUAUAAUAAAGUUAAAGAGCUAGUCAUAAUAAACUGUGAUUUUGAAAGGUUUUUCGUAAAACAUUCAACAAAUAAUAAUGAACAAAAGCAAUGUUAUAUCAAAUAAUGUUUUCUUACUUUAAUGUUAUGAAUAUAUAUUUUCAAUCCAACUUUUAUAUAUAUAUAUAUAUGUAUAUAUAUGUUGGUUCCUUGUACAAAUUCAAUAAUGUAUAUUAUAAGCACAAAUAAAUCUAAAAUGUUGUAAGGUUUUUCUCUCAAACUCCCUCUUUCAUUUCUCUUAAUAAAAUCUUGUUCUUAAUUUCGCUUAACAAAACCGUGUUCUCAAGUACUGUGGAUGUAGGCGUUUAUAACUGAACCAUUUUAAAAAUUUCAUGUGUUGAUUCUUCUACUUCUCCUCUUCCAUCUUCAUCAUCAUCUCUAUCUUCAAUCAAAAACUCUAUCAAAAACCACAAAACAGACAUAGACAAUAGAGAGAGGAAGCUUGCGUAUUUACGUGGAUUUGCUUUUGUUCAAAAAGCAAAGUAAAGAAUGAAAAGGAAGAGAAGUUAACUUUAACCAAUUUCACAUGCAAAAGAGAUAAAAUAAAAAUCUAAAAAUAAAAUAACUUUACUUAGUGGUUGCCUCUUGACCCUACACGUGAACAGCAUCAACUUCUUACUCUUUUUUCCCUUCCACCAACCUCAACUCUUAGCUCAUUUUCGUGUGUCAUUGGCCAUACAAAACAUACGAUCCCACAAUUAUCAACCAACAAAUCUCUAGGCUAAUGACUUGCAAUUAAAUGAAACCAAUUUCUAAUUGGAUGUGAAUUUCCAAGAUCUUUUGACAUUUGCCAAAUUUUAAUCAUUUCUUGAAGGCUAUGGUAUUGAACAUUUUUUAGAAUGUUUUGGGUGCUAGGUUGGUCCGCGACUAAGGGGUACCAAUCUCGAGCCCUUAGUCCUCUAAAAUGUCGCGCCCAAGGUCAUAACCCAAAUCAAAUGACUUACCCAUUUGGCAUCCUUCCUCGUCGGCCGAAGAAAAUAGGCCACACAAAAUUGCACACGGACGUACCCAUUUCUCGCCAAACACAAUCAGACCGCCCAAAUCCAAGCCCAUCGGAUUUCUCUCCACCGAUUCCAUGGCUGCAUCAACUCACUGACUACACAAUCAAUCCUUCUCAAUCUCACCUCGUCUAUUACAUCGUUCUCUGAGCCAUUACCUCUGGCAGCUGCAAAUUCAAUUCAGAAGUAAUAACCAUUUUCGUUUUCUAACUUGCAAAAAUGGCGUCCGAAUCCGACCACAAAGCUACAAUAAUCGACGGCAAAAAGAUCGCACAAACUGUCAGAUCUGAAGUCGCGGAGGAAGUGAACAAACUCUCUGAGAAAUAUGGAAAGGUUCCAGGACUGGCGGUGGUGAUUGUGGGGAAUAGAAAGGAUUCGCUUACCUAUGUAAAUAUGAAGAGGAAGGCUUGCCUGGAAGUCGGGAUCAAGUCUUUUGAGAUUGAUCUUCCUGAGCAAGUGUCUGAGGCUGAAUUGAUCAGCAAAGUCCAUGAGCUUAAUGCCAAUCCUGAAGUACAUGGGAUAUUGGUUCAGCUUCCUUUGCCGAACCACAUAAAUGAAGAGAAAGUUCUAUCUGAAAUUAGCAUUGAGAAGGAUGUAGAUGGCUUUCAUCCUCUGAACAUUGGGAAGCUUGCAAUGAAAGGCAGAGAUCCCUUGUUCCUACCUUGCACUCCGAAGGGGUGUCUUGAACUGCUGUCGCGAAGUGGAAUUAGCAUCAGAGGAAAGAAAGCAGUUGUUAUGGGGCGAAGCAACAUUGUUGGAUUACCAGUUUCAUUGUUGCUUCUUAAAGCAGAUGCAACUGUCACAAUCGUCCAUUCACGUUCCGUUGAUCCAGAAAGUGUUAUCCGCGAAGCAGACAUUAUAAUUGCUGCAGCAGGACAGGCACAAAUGAUCAAGGGGAGUUGGAUUAAACCAGGUGCUGCAGUCAUCGAUGUCGGUACAAAUGCAGUUGAUGAUCCAACCAAGAAGUCGGGCUACCGGCUGGUCGGGGAUGUAGAUUUCCAGGAAGCUUGUAAAGUAGCUGGUUGGAUAACUCCGGUUCCGGGUGGCGUAGGUCCUAUGACUGUUGCCAUGCUGCUUAGGAAUACUUUGGAUGGGGCUAAGCGUGCGAUCGAGCAGUGAAAAAGACACCGCAGCUUGUUACCGAUCCUCGUGGGACUUUUUCGGAGUAAUUUCAAAAUAAAUGAAAAACCUCCAUUUCCUUCUUGUCUAAGCUGACUAUGGCCUCAAUCCCUUCACCAUCUUUGGAAUCCAUCAACAAAAUCAUAUUCUUCCAUGGAAACUCAGUACUCUUCAAAGUUUCUCUUCGUGUCACCCACUAAGUUCCAUAGCUCCAUUUCCCUCUUCUCCUGCGUCCUCGACAAUCCUAUGAACCAAGAGAUUACGUUUCCUGAUAAUGUCGCUGGCAAUGGCGGAUCCACUCUGUUUCAAUUUAAUUCCCCGCCGCUUUCCAACUUCGUCGGAGGGAAAAAACUAGCCCCAUUAAAUUGAGGAGGACAAUUCAGGGUCGGUGGAUCAUUGCCGUCGCGGGAGCUACGAGCAAUGAAAACCCAAUCAUUUAUGAAGUUGGUUAACGACGCCAAAUCCGCAACUUUGUGAGAACAUAACACAUACAUCACUUCUCCUCCACAUUCAAAUUGUGUCAACUGAACACACAACAAUGGAUUCAAUCUUUGGUCUUUUCCAUUGAUGUCAUCCGAAAGAGUCAACUUCAAAAUCUCUUCACGUUCUAAAUUGAAGUUGUUCAUAAAUUCUGACAUGGGACACCGGAGCUUUGCCUCCGAAACAAUUGCACCCACGUCGUUGCAGUUGAUGGAGUUGCCAUCGUCUCUGAGGCGGCCGGCAAAAGGGUAGUAAAAAGUCAAGGCCUUUGAGAGGCUAUCUUUCAGCAGCUGCCGGCUGUAGCCGGAGCUGAUAUCGUGGUUGUAGUAGAAAUAGAGAAGGUGUAUAUACAUUUUAGGGGCUUGUUGAUCAAAAAGGCUAAGAGGGAGUUUUUUGAGUUGUGGUGGGGUUGCAGAUAAAGGCUUGAUGGUUUCUUUACUAACUAUUUGAAGCUCCAUCAUCUUUUGUGUAGGUUGUGAAGAACAAGAUGAUGAUUUAUUGCAUGCGAAGCUAAAAGCUUAUAUGUAGGUUUGAAGUCAAGAAAGUAAGGACAAAAGGAAAAUAUUUAAAA